GACUUAGAAGACAGAGUGCCACUUACUGAAAGGUUUUUUUUCUCUCAGUAAGUGGCACUCUGUCUUCUGAGUU
This 73-nucleotide microRNA precursor is filed under the name Gorilla gorilla gorilla (western lowland gorilla). Its description in RNAcentral is "miRNA (ENSGGOG00000041940.1)". Lineage: Eukaryota; Metazoa; Chordata; Mammalia; Primates; Hominidae. The record is from RNAcentral.